CAGGGUGUAGUUUAGUGGUAAAACUACAGCCUUCCAAGCUGUUGUCGCGAGUUCGAUUCUCGUCACCCGCU
Molecule: transfer RNA, 71 nt
Filed under: Streptococcus pyogenes
Lineage: Bacteria; Bacillati; Bacillota; Bacilli; Lactobacillales; Streptococcaceae
Description: tRNA-Gly
Rfam family: tRNA
About the family: Transfer RNA (tRNA) molecules are approximately 80 nucleotides in length. Their secondary structure includes four short double-helical elements and three loops (D, anti-codon, and T loops).
Source: RNAcentral